RNAcentral lists this ribosomal RNA (776 nucleotides) under uncultured Neocallimastigales. RNAcentral's name for it is "partial large subunit ribosomal RNA". It matches the Rfam family "Eukaryotic large subunit ribosomal RNA", at positions 23 to 639 of the family's 3401-position model. Lineage: Eukaryota; Fungi; Neocallimastigomycota; Neocallimastigomycetes; Neocallimastigales. The record is from RNAcentral.
AGAGAGAGACAUGCGCGCAUAUCAAUAAGCGGAGGAAAAGAAACUAACUAGGAUUCCCUCAGUAACGGCGAGUGAAGCGGGAAGAGCUCAAAUUUGAAAUCUUCAAGGUUCUACCUUGACGAAUUGUAGUUUAAAGAAGUGUUUUCUGUUGGAGGUUUUGGUAAAAGUUCUUUGGAAUAGGACAUCAUAGAGGGUGAGAAUCCCGUAUUUGACCAUUUACUUUCAGCUUUGUGAUACACUUUCAAAGAGUCGGAUUGUUUGGGAAUGCAGUCCAAAAUGGGUGGUAAAUUUCAUCUAAAGCUAAAUAUUGGCGAGAGACCGAUAGCGAACAAGUACCGUGAGGGAAAGAUGAAAAGAACUUUGAAAAGAGAGUUAAACAGUACGUGAAAUUGUCAAAAGGGAAGCGUUUGACACCAGUGUUGUUUUCUCGAAAAUCAAUUAAAAAAGGCAGGAUUUUGUGUUGUAUUGACUUUAUCAGCUUUCUGCACUCUUUUCUUGUCUUUUUUAAUGCACUUUUCGUUUAACAAGUCAACAUCAAUUUCUUUUGUUGUAAAAGGGUCAUUGGAAGGUGGCUUUCUUUUCGGAGAAAGUGUUUAUAGCCUUUGGCCUCUGCAAUCGGAGAGAUUGAGGUCUGCAGCGUAGAUCCUUCGGGGUUAGAUACAUUUGUGCUAAGUUAUAGCCUUUCAUAGACAACUUGUUGACUAUGAUCAGUCAUGUAGCUUACUCGCUUAUGCUAUUUUACCUACGCUUAGGAUGUUGAUGUGAUACUGCGAGCA